AUGAAAAUUGCCAAGAUGGUAGCCCCUCCUGCAGGUAUGAAGCCUGCCAAAUUUCAAGGAGAUAAGUGCAGAGGUUUCUGUGAAACUGCACCUCAAACUGUUCAAACCAAAAGUCCCGACACUUGCUGGAAGCAGCAGCCUCCUGUCAUCUGGCAUGCAGAUCUGGGGGCUCACAGCCCAGGGAAGGCUGUGGGGCUGUGCCUGAGUCCUCCUGGGGGUGGGAGCCCCUGGUUCUGCAUGCCGGAUGACAGGAGGCUGCCACUGCUGGGACUGGCAGCAGCAAUCUUCCCUGGCACUGGGCACAGACAUCAGCCUGAGCUGCCUUUCAUCUGGCACAAAUCCUGGGGCUCACACCCCUGGGAGGUCCACAGGGCUAUGCUGGGCUUCUCCCAGGGGUGCAACCCCCUCAUCUGCAUGCUGUAUGACAGGAGGCUGCCCCUGAUCAGCGGUAGCAGCAAUCUUCCCCAGCACUGGGCGUGGACUGUGCCCAGCACAGAUCCAGGGGCUCGCACCCCCAGAAGGAGUCUGGCACAAUACAGCAGCCCUCCUGGGGGUGCAAGUCCUGGGAUCUGUGCUUUGGGGAGAGGAAGCUCAGCCAGCUUGUCACACCAGGGAAAGGCAUCCUCCGCCUGCCUCCCUGCUCAGCUGCAGUCCCCCCCGCCACAGCACCUUACCAGCAUCAGCAGCCAUGCUCUUGCCCCCCUGCAUGGUGGGGUGCAGCGUGGCUCAGCCCCAGCCACUGGGUGUCUGCCACCUCUGCCACAGCGCACUGCUGCUGUGUGGCUCUGUGUAGGGCCAUGUGCUUUCAGGGAGCUCUGGGCUGUCAGCUGGGGCUGCGCGCCACUCAUGGGGACAGCUGACCAAACAGGCUGGGGUCCUGUGUGCGCAGAUGCAGUGUGCAGGCCUCAUGCAUGCAGGACCCAGGCCAGUGUGGCCAGUGGUCCCUGCAGAUGGUGUGCAGCCCCAAGUGACAGCCCAGAGCUGCCUGAAAGCACAGGGCCCUUCACCAAGCAGGGUAGCAGCAGUGCGCUGUGGCAGAUACCUGGAGGCUGGGGCAAGCGACGCUGCCCCCCCAGCUGUGCAGAGGCCCAGGAGCACAGCUGCUGGUGCUGGUAA
This 1116-nucleotide long non-coding RNA is filed under the name Crocodylus porosus (Australian saltwater crocodile). RNAcentral's name for it is "lncRNA (ENSCPRG00005003695.1)". Lineage: Eukaryota; Metazoa; Chordata; Crocodylia; Crocodylidae. The record is from RNAcentral.